This 94-nucleotide microRNA precursor is filed under the name Caenorhabditis sp. 23 AD-2012. RNAcentral's name for it is "mir-259". The stretch from base 9 to 86 matches the Rfam family "mir-259 microRNA precursor family". The record is from RNAcentral. Lineage: Eukaryota; Metazoa; Nematoda; Chromadorea; Rhabditida; Rhabditidae.
AGCCGACGGAACGAGUAAAUCUCAUCCUAAUCUGGUAGACACAACACAAGGAAGUGCUACCGAUUUGGCUUGGGAUUGACUUGUGGAAUUGGCG